Molecule: long non-coding RNA, 624 nt
Organism: Cervus elaphus (red deer)
Lineage: Eukaryota; Metazoa; Chordata; Mammalia; Artiodactyla; Cervidae
Exons: 3
Source: RefSeq, a predicted model, not a curated record
UCUAGGCUGAGCUGGAGCAGGGUGUGAAGAGGGGUGAGCAUUCAACACAAUGACCUCAUGCCUCUUGCCCACCGCCAGGUGGUCCCCCUCGCCAUCGAAAUUGCUGGUGUCUCUUGAGUGCGGAACACGCCAAGGUCUGGCGGUGGAGGGACAGGCCUCUCUGCAGUGCCUAAUCCAGGGCCUGGCACAUUGUCAGAACCCGGUGGUCAUUAAAGGAAUAAGUGAAGAAAUGGAUGAUCUGGAUCCAGGUGAUGGCCUCCAAGUCGCCCAGGGAGGAAGUGAAGACAGCCCUUCUCCAGUCUUACAGUAGAGAGGAGAGUUGGCCUGCUGGCUCAGUGGUAAGGCAUCCACCUGCCUAUGCAGGAGAUGUGAGUUCAGUCCCUGAUCCAGAAGAUCCGUAUGCUGGGAAGCCUGUGAGUCACAACUGUUGAGCUUAUGCUUGAGAGCCCAGGAGCUGCAACCCCUGAGUCCGUUUGCCACUCCUGAAGCCCAUGCGCCCGAGCGUCCACACUCCGCAAGAGAAGCCAAACUAGAGAAAAGCCUACACAGCAAUGAAGACCCAGCACAGCCAAAGUUGCUCGCUAAGUCGCUUCAGUCAUGUUCGACUCUCUGCAACGCUAUGGA